RNAcentral lists this ribosomal RNA (198 nucleotides) under uncultured bacterium. RNAcentral describes it as "partial 16S ribosomal RNA". It matches the Rfam family "Bacterial small subunit ribosomal RNA", at positions 328 to 539 of the family's 1533-position model. The record is from RNAcentral.
ACGCUCGACACCUACGUGAGGCAGCAGUGGGGAAUAUUGCACAAUGGGGGAAACCCUGAUGCAGCGACGCCGCGUGAGUGAAGAAGUAUUUCGGUAUGUAAAGCUCUAUCAGCAGGGAAGAAAAUGACGGUACCUGACUAAGAAGCCCCGGCUAACUACGUGCCAGCAGCCGUGGUAAUCUGAGCGGGCUGGCAAGGC